Molecule: ribosomal RNA, 378 nt
Filed under: uncultured bacterium
Lineage: Bacteria
Description: bacterial SSU rRNA
Rfam family: Bacterial small subunit ribosomal RNA
Source: RNAcentral
AUUGAACGCUGGCGGCAUGCCUAACACAUGCAAGUCGAACGGGGUGUAGCAAUACAUCUAGUGGCGGACGGGUGAGGAAUACAUAGGAAUUUGCCCUUAAGUGGGGGAUAGUCCGGGGAAACUCGGUUUAAUACCGCAUGAUCUCGUGAGAGCAAAGCAGGGGACCGCAAGGCCUUGCGCUUUUGGAGAAGCCUAUGUCGGAUUAGCUAGUUGGUAGGGUAAUGGCCUACCAAGGCGACGAUCCGUAACUGGUCUGAGAGGAUGAUCAGUCACACCGGAACUGAGACACGGUCCGGACUCCUACGGGAGGCAGCAGUGGGGAAUAUUGGACAAUGGCGCAAGCCUGAUCCAGCAAUGCCGCGUGUGUGAAGAAGGCCU